UACGAAGGGGUCUAGCGUUGCUCGGAAUCACUGGGCGUAAAGCGCACGUAGGCGGAUUGUUAAGUCAGGGGUGAAAUCCUGGAGCUCAACUCCAGAACUGCCUUUGAUACUGGCGAUCUCGAGUCCGGGAGAGGUGAGUGGAACUGCGAGUGUAGAGGUGAAAUUCGUAGAUAUUCGCAAGAACACCAGUGGCGAAGGCGGCUCACUGGCCCGGUACUGACGCUGAGGUGCGAAAGCGUGGGGAGCAAACAGG
Molecule: ribosomal RNA, 253 nt
Filed under: uncultured bacterium
Lineage: Bacteria
Description: partial 16S ribosomal RNA
Rfam family: Bacterial small subunit ribosomal RNA
Source: RNAcentral